RNAcentral lists this ribosomal RNA (253 nucleotides) under uncultured bacterium. RNAcentral describes it as "partial 16S ribosomal RNA". It matches the Rfam family "Archaeal small subunit ribosomal RNA", at positions 474 to 727 of the family's 1478-position model. The record is from RNAcentral.
UACCAGCACCCCGAGUGGUCGGGACGAUUAUUGGGCCUAAAGCAUCCGUAGCCGGUUCUGCAAGUCCUCCGUUAAAUCCAGCUGCUCAACAGAUGGGCCGCGGAGGAUACUACAGAGCUAGGAGGCAGGAGAGGCAAGCGGUACUCAGUGGGUAGGGGUAAAAUCCGUUGAUCCAUUGAAGACCACCAGUGGCGAAGGCGGCUUGCCAGAAUGCGCUCGACGGUGAGGGAUGAAAGCUAGGGGAGCGAAAGGG